This 251-nucleotide unclassified non-coding RNA is filed under the name uncultured fungus. RNAcentral describes it as "sequence contains ITS2". The stretch from base 1 to 52 matches the Rfam family "5.8S ribosomal RNA", at positions 103 to 154 of the family's 154-position model. Lineage: Eukaryota; Fungi. The record is from RNAcentral.
AACGCACAUUGCGCCCGCCGGUACUCCGGCGGGCAUGCCUGUCCGAGCGUCAUUGACAACCCUCAGGCCCUGGUGCCUGGUGUUGGGGCACUACAGCACGCUGUAGGCCCUGAAAUCCAGUGGCGGGAUCGCUGAAAACCCGGGCGCAGUAACUUUACGCCGUCUAGGGUGCUCCGGCGAACCCCGGCCGUUAAACCCACCAAAUUAUCAUGUUUGGCCUCGGAUCAGGUAGGAUUACCCGCUGAACUUAA